UACGUAGGGUGCAAGCGUUAUCCGGAAUUAUUGGGCGUAAAGAGCUCGUAGGCGGUUUGUCACGUCUGCUGUGAAAACUGGAGGCUCAACCUCCAGCCUGCAGUGGGUACGGGCAGACUAGAGUGCGGUAGGGGAGAUUGGAAUUCCUGGUGUAGCGGUGGAAUGCGCAGAUAUCAGGAGGAACACCGAUGGCGAAGGCAGAUCUCUGGGCCGAUACUGACGCUGAGGAGCGAAAGCGUGGGGAGCGAACAGG
RNAcentral lists this ribosomal RNA (253 nucleotides) under uncultured bacterium. Its description in RNAcentral is "partial 16S ribosomal RNA". It matches the Rfam family "Bacterial small subunit ribosomal RNA", at positions 524 to 776 of the family's 1533-position model. The record is from RNAcentral.